RNAcentral lists this ribosomal RNA (494 nucleotides) under uncultured bacterium. RNAcentral's name for it is "partial 16S ribosomal RNA". It matches the Rfam family "Bacterial small subunit ribosomal RNA", at positions 28 to 507 of the family's 1533-position model. The record is from RNAcentral.
GACGAACGCUGGCGGCGUGCUUAACACAUGCAAGUCGAACGGUGAAGCGCCUUCCUUUUUGGUGGGUGUGGAUGAGUGGCGAACGGGUGAGUAACACGUGAGUAACCUGCCCCCUUCUUCUGGAUAACCGCAUGAAAGUGUGGCUAAUACGGGAUAUUCUGGGUCUGUCGCAUGAUGGGUCUGGGAAAGAUAUUGUUUCGGUGGGGGAUGGGCUCGCGGCCUAUUAGCUUGUUGGUGGGGUGAUGGCCUACCAAGGCGGUGACGGGUAGCCGGCCUGAGAGGGUGGACGGUCACACUGGGACGGAGACACGGCCAAGACUCCUACGGGAGGCAGCAGUGGGGAAUAUUGCACAAUGGGCGCAAGCCUGAUGCAGCGACGCCGCGUGAGGGAUGGAGGCCUGCGGGUUGUGAACCUCUUUCGCCAGUGAAGCAGGCCUGCCUCGUUUGUGGGUGGGUUGACGGUAGCUGGAUAAGAAGCGCCGGCUAACUACGUG